GACGAACGCUGGCGGCGUGCUUAACACAUGCAAGUCGAACGGAAAGGCCCCUUCGGGGGUACUCGAGUGGCGAACGGGUGAGUAACACGUGAGUAACCUGCCCUUGACUUCGGGAUAACUUCAGGAAACUGGGGCUAAUACCGGAUAGGAAUCCUUGCUGCAUGGUGGGGGUUGGAAAGCUUCGGCGGUGUUGGAUGGACUCGCGGCUUAUCAGCUUGUUGGUGGGGUAGUGGCUUACCAAGGCUUUGACGGGUAGCCGGCCUGAGAGGGCGACCGGCCACAUUGGGACUGAGGUACGGCCCAGACUCCUACGGGAGGCAGCAGUGGGGAAUAUUGCACAAUGGGCGGAAGCCUGAUGCAGCGACGCCGCGUGCGGGAUGACGGCCUUCGGGUUGUAAACCGCUUUCAGCAGGGGCGAAGCUUGUGGUGACGGUACCUGCAGAAGAAGCACCGGCUAACUACGUG
This 465-nucleotide ribosomal RNA is filed under the name uncultured bacterium. RNAcentral describes it as "partial 16S ribosomal RNA". It matches the Rfam family "Bacterial small subunit ribosomal RNA", at positions 28 to 507 of the family's 1533-position model. The record is from RNAcentral.